GAGGAUUGUCCUCUUCAUCCCUCCCUGACAAGGUGAGUGCCCUUCUCAGAUCCCAGCAGGGCUGUGACUAAACCCAGCAUCCCCCCUGCCUGCACCCCAAUUCUGCUGCUGCCAGCAGUGCCCUCUUUCAAAUGAAGAAAACAGAUUAUCCAGCGGAGACACUCGGGAAUAAAGCCACGGCUGAGGUGCACCGGUGCUCUCAGAUUUAGCCACGAGUUCCCCAGAGGCCGUGUUAAAGCUUUUUCCAUUCAACGUGCAAGGACAGACUCAAAUUUGGGCAAAGACUCAGCAGUGCUGAGAGAGAAAACCCAACUGUCCCUGGGCUGUGGGCAGCUCUGGAGCUGGGUUUGCUUCGCUGCUUUGCAAUCAGGGUGGUCUGUCAGUUAAACAGAGACAGAAAUGCCACGUGCCAAACUCGCUGUGGACAGGAACUGCGCUGCCUGCUUGAGUUUUGAAACGGCUUUGUGCACUCAGAGCCAGAAAUCCUGCCUAGAGGAAUUCCCAGCUCUGCUGAUGUGAGCACCCUUGGAAGGACAGAGGAAAAUACUAGUUUUUUCCAAGCCAACUCAAAUGGGCUGAAGUCAGGAUGGUUUUGGAAUCAGACUUUAGAUGAGCACAUAAGAAGGAACUUGCCCUCUCCCAGGCAGAAUGGAAAGGCACUCACUGCACCCCACACUUCAGUCUGGGGCCAGUCCCACAGGGCUCCAGGUACCUGUGUCUCACAGUCCAGCAGCCGGAUGGACUUGUCGUUC
Long non-coding RNA from Motacilla alba alba, 752 nucleotides. RefSeq lists it as uncharacterized. NCBI's taxonomy places the organism in Eukaryota, Metazoa, Chordata, Aves, Passeriformes, Motacillidae. The record is from RefSeq and is a predicted model, not a curated record. The transcript has 4 exons.